UCCGGUUUGUCACCGGCAGUCUGGCGUGAGUCCCCAACUUAAUGCUGGCAACACGCCACGGGGGUUGCGCUCGUUGCGGGACUUAACCCAACAUCUCACGACACGAGCUGACGACAGCCAUGCACCACCUGUGCACUGGCCCCGAAGGGCUGCCGUAUUUCUACGGCAUUCCAGUGCAUGUCAAGCCCUGGUAAGGUUCUUCGCGUCGCGUCGAAUUAAGGCACAUGCUCCGCCGCUUGUGCGGGCCCCCGUCAAUUCCUUUGAGUUUCACCCUUGCGGGCGUACUCCCCAGGUGGAUUACUUAACGCUUUCGCUAAGACGCUGACUGUUUAUCGCCAACAUCGAGUAAUCAUCGUUUACAGCGUGGACUAC
Molecule: unclassified non-coding RNA, 372 nt
Filed under: uncultured bacterium
Lineage: Bacteria
Description: contains 16S-23S intergenic spacer region
Source: RNAcentral